UAACUUUCAACAACGGAUCUCUUGGCUCUCGCAUCGAUGAAGAACGCAGCGAAAUGCGAUACGUAAUGUGAAUUGCAGAAUUCAGUGAAUCAUCGAAUCUUUGAACGCACCUUGCGCCCCUUGGCAUUCCGAGGGGCACACCCGUUUGAGUGUCGUG
Molecule: ribosomal RNA, 157 nt
Filed under: uncultured Russula
Lineage: Eukaryota; Fungi; Basidiomycota; Agaricomycetes; Russulales; Russulaceae
Description: 5.8S ribosomal RNA
Rfam family: 5.8S ribosomal RNA
About the family: 5.8S ribosomal RNA (5.8S rRNA) is a component of the large subunit of the eukaryotic ribosome. It is transcribed by RNA polymerase I as part of the 45S precursor that also contains 18S and 28S rRNA. Functionally, it is thought that 5.8S rRNA may be involved in ribosome translocation.
Source: RNAcentral